AGAGUUUGAUCCUGGCUCAGGACGAACGCUGGCGGCGCGCCUAAUCCAUGCAAGUCGAGCGACGCAUUCCUUAGCCCGUAAGGGCGGGUUUGACGGAGCGGCGAACGGGUGCGUAACACGUGACCAAUCUGCCCCGAAGACCGGGAUAGCCCGGGGAAACCCGGAUUAAUACCGGAUGAUCUCACCACCACGCAUGUGGAGGUGAGCAAAGGCUCAGGCGCUUCGGGAUGAGGUCGCGGCCCAUCAGCUUGUUGGUGAGGUAACGGCUCACCAAGGCAAUUACGGGUAGCUGGUCUGAGAGGACGAUCAGCCACACUGGAACUGAGAUACGGUCCAGACUCCUACGGGAGGCAGCAGGAGGGAAUCUUGCGCAAUGGGCGAAAGCCUGACGCAGCGACGCCGCGUGGGGGAUGAAUGCCUUAGGGUUGUAAACCCCUUUCACGAGGGAAGAAACUGACGGUACCUCGAGAAGAAGCCCCGGCCAACUACGUGCCAGCAGCCGCGGUAAUACGUAGGGGGCGAGCGUUGUCCGGAUUUAUUGGGCGUAAAGGGCUCGUAGGCGGCUUGGCAAGUCGGCCGUGAAAACCCAGGGCUCAACUCUGGGACGCCGGUCGAUACUGCCAUGGCUAGGGUCCGGUAGANGGGAAUGGAAUUCCCGGUGUA
Molecule: ribosomal RNA, 663 nt
Filed under: uncultured Actinomycetes bacterium
Lineage: Bacteria; Bacillati; Actinomycetota; Actinomycetes
Description: bacterial SSU rRNA
Rfam family: Bacterial small subunit ribosomal RNA
Source: RNAcentral